GGGUGAUUAGCUCAGUUGGUUUAGAGCGCUUGCUUGACAGGCAAGAGGUCAUCAGUUCGAAUCUGUUAUCGCCCA
RNAcentral lists this transfer RNA (75 nucleotides) under Flavobacteriales bacterium. RNAcentral's name for it is "tRNA-Val". It matches the Rfam family "tRNA". Rfam says of the family: Transfer RNA (tRNA) molecules are approximately 80 nucleotides in length. Their secondary structure includes four short double-helical elements and three loops (D, anti-codon, and T loops). Lineage: Bacteria; Pseudomonadati; Bacteroidota; Flavobacteriia; Flavobacteriales. The record is from RNAcentral.